GAUGACGCAACAGAAGAACCCACUUCAACAUGACAUGUGACGUCACAAAGGAUCAAGCGAACCAUGGCGUAAAGCAAGAAAGAAGAAAAGUCAGCGAAUAAAGCUGCCGAAGAAAAGCGCAAGGUGAAGAACAAAGACGAAGACGCCAAUAAAAGAUACACGGUUUGAGGUUUGAGUAUUAUAUAGGAGUUGUGUGUUAAUUGUAUGUGUAUCUUGUCUGUGCUGCUGUAUUUUCAUUCUGCUGGGCCUAAUGUGGCCAGCUAUUUUUAGUCAGUCACUACUUUAGUGCAUUUUGCAUAUCUAUGAAAUAUAUAUGCAAUGAAACUAUGGCGAACAUCUUGCUGGAUCAGAAUUUGUUGUUGUACACUCUAUUGGGUACUUCGUCUACAAAGGUCGAAUCCUUCAGUGAUUCUGUAUUGUCCUGAUCGCUUGGUGGGAACGCUAU
Ciona intestinalis (vase tunicate) is the source of this 445-nucleotide non-coding RNA. The record is from RefSeq and is a predicted model, not a curated record. NCBI's taxonomy places the organism in Eukaryota, Metazoa, Chordata, Ascidiacea, Phlebobranchia, Cionidae.